RNAcentral lists this long non-coding RNA (584 nucleotides) under Bemisia tabaci. RNAcentral's name for it is "lncRNA ENSASIAIIG001004". The record is from RNAcentral. Lineage: Eukaryota; Metazoa; Arthropoda; Insecta; Hemiptera; Aleyrodidae.
AUGCUGGAUUCCGCCCGGUGGUGGUUCCGGUGGUGGAAGUUCCGGCUCCCCGGCAUGCAAAAGGCGUCCAAGUCCACCUCCAACAUGGUCCAGCAGGGCAGCCGCCUCGUCUCCAAGAAGAUCUGGAAGUCCCGAUCCAAGAGCCAGCCUCGGAUAGCUGUCACCGUCACGCCUUUCUGGUCGCCCCACCCACAGAUGAAGAACACGUGGGUGAACUCUGCCGGCGUCCAGGUGACACUAGCGGAUACGACGAUUCUGCAACUGACGGAGAUCGAGCGAAGAGUGCUCCAGAAGGUGGCGUUGGCAAAAUUGCAAGCUUUGAACCUAGGCGUCAGCGUGAAAAUUCCAUCAGAGAUCGUGGCUGCCCCAAGGAAACGGCGACCCUACUUAAUGAAGCGGAAAGCUCUGACGACCGGGAUUUUCGAACCAAGUCGGAACAAAGAUGAGUGGGGAAAAGAUGAAAAGGUGCGAAUUUCUUCAUUUACUUUCUUUUUAUUCUUUUUGCACGCACUGGAAUUCUUAUUAAAUAGAAAAUUCUUAUUUCUUUGGUUCUUAAGAACUCUUGUAUUUUUUUCUGGCGAUGG